Nematostella vectensis (starlet sea anemone) is the source of this 283-nucleotide long non-coding RNA. RefSeq lists it as uncharacterized. The record is from RefSeq and is a predicted model, not a curated record. The transcript has 2 exons. Lineage: Eukaryota; Metazoa; Cnidaria; Anthozoa; Actiniaria; Edwardsiidae.
CCUGUGGCAAAAAAGCGGAAGUGACAUACCGGAAGCGCGCCUCCUCUGUCUACGCGCCUGAGCAGAUGUGAUCUUGCUGUGGAGCAUCGUUAUCGAAAUUCUGAACACUGAUUUUAAUUUCAACAUGGUGUUUUAGUUGAAGGAAAUAUCCAAGAUUCAAUUCUGUGUAUUUCAGCGGAAAAUCAGAUAGCGAAGAAACAAAACGGCAGCGCAAAUUGAGCUUAUGGCUCUAUGAAGGGUUUACCGGUAAAAUCUAAGGUUAAAAAGUUUGCACGUUUUCAAA